Molecule: ribosomal RNA, 459 nt
Filed under: uncultured bacterium
Lineage: Bacteria
Description: partial 16S ribosomal RNA
Rfam family: Bacterial small subunit ribosomal RNA
Source: RNAcentral
CCUACGGGAGGCAGCAGUGAGGAAUAUUGGUCAAUGGGCGCGAGCCUGAACCAGCCAAGUCGCGUGAGGGAAGACGGUCCUAUGGAUUGUAAACCUCUUUUGUCGGGGAGCAAAAGACGCCACGCGUGGCGUUCCGAGAGUACCCGAAGAAAAAGCAUCGGCUAACUCCGUGCCAGCAGCCGCGGUAAUACGGAGGCUGCGAGCGUUAUCCGGAUUUAUUGGGUUUAAAGGUUGCGCAGGCGGCAGAUUAAGUCAGCGGUAAAAUUGAGAGGCUCAACCUCUUCGAGCCGUUGAAACUGGUUGUCUUGAGUGAGCGAGAAGUAUGCGGAAUGCGUGGUGUAGCGGUGAAAUGCAUAGAUAUCACGCAGAACUCCGAUUGCGAAGGCAGCAUACCGGCGCUCAACUGACGCUCAUGCACGAAAGUGUGGGUAUCGAACAGGAUUAGAUACCCCAGUAGUC